UUUGGGUAAAAACGAGAGCAAUUAGGGCAGGUUUUCUUCGAUUGUUCUUGCUCAUGAGAGAGUCUUCUUUUCAUCUCGCUCGGGAAUCUUCGAUUUUGUGCUCGGUAUUCAAUCUCUUGUGCUCGGGAGUGUUCCAUCUCUUGCGGUCAUUGAGCUCGAGGCACUCGAGACACUCGGGACGCAUGAACAGCUCAUGCUCGGGAGCCGGUGGGGGUUAACGGGAUAGAUUCGAGACUCGAGUAAACCGAUUUUUUGAUUUGAGAUGAUUUGGCGCCGGAUGCGGGAGCGAGGGAGUUGGUCUGGUGAGUCUCUGGGGUCUCGCCCGUCUUCUCUUCAGUCGCAUGUGUGUAGUCGAGGGGCCGCGCUCUCCCGCACAGGGAGGUCUAAUGGCGUCGACGUGCCUCCCUGCGUCCGCGGCACCCUCUCCUCCUUCGUCGCCUUCGACUUCCCUUUCGCGACGCCCGCCGUCUCGGCUCCCGCGGAUGCCCUGUUCACCGGCGUCGGGGCCGGGUUUUCCGCGCGCGGAUCGCGGCGGUCGGAGGAGCAGCAGCGGCAGCAGAAGAGCGCGCGGGCUUGGCUCCGGAGGAAGAGAAAGUUGAGCACGCCCCUCUCCAUUCGGAUAGCCUAUGGGUAAUUCUCCACCGUAAAUGGUAUGGCUGUUGCUCUAGAAGUGGCUCGAGCUGGUGAAGUUGGAUCCGUGUUAGGAUAGUUUCGAGAAGAGAAAUGUGGGUGAAGGUGGAAUCAGAAGCCUGGGAAGAAGGGCACAGUUGGGAUUGUUCCGGCCGUGAUUCAUGGAAGAAUAGGGCCAAAGCCGUAGGUUAGUGCUGCUUCUUUUUACAGAACUUGGUCCCUGGAAAGGACUUGAUCUUGUUUAGUUUUAGUGAAAUUGGUCUUAUCUGAGGAUCGAACUGGCAAAAGUAUGUAUUUUGCAUCGACAGAUGAUGCCGGGUUCAAUCAAAACUUAUUGGAAUUUGAUUCCUAGUGUACGUAGGUCAGCCUCAUGCUCAAAGGAAUACCGCAUUAGUGCCCUGCUGUCGGGAAGGAGGAAGAUCAUUAUCUGCGCUGCCGAAAUUCUUUUUAAGCUUACAUAUGCUGAUUCCGGGGAAACAUCAGUUGCAGCAGAUUGGCGACCGAACCUGAACUUUCAUUCAGAGUGCUUCCCUCGGUUUAGUCCCACGAAGACACCGUUGCCACCACCAUUGCCAUAGGAUCCGGCAGAGGAGGAUGAAGAAGAAGAAGGGGAGAAUCCUGAGAAGGAAGGGAGGGACUCGCCUGAGAAGCAGUAAGCAGAAGACUCCUCGGUGAUCAAACGUUGCUCCACCUUUGGACAUUCUUUGCAAGCGAUUGCUCAGUAUGUCCAUUACAAGUAGGUUCGAUCUAUCCUGCCUACUCAAAUACAAUGAAAACUGAGAAUCUCGAAACACGUUUAGAAAUUUCGGUGGAUUUUUAGAUUCUAGUGUAGGAUAUUGAUUUGUGUACUUCUCAAUGUAGUACUGCGAUCAAUGGACAGUAUAUCUACUAACUGAGACCUGACCCAUGUUUUCAUGCAUCACUUAAUGAGGAACUUCAUGAUCCCGUUAAAAACUAUCAAAUUGCAAAAAAUUCACAAAUAUUGCAUAGUCGUAGCUCUGUGCCUAGUUGUAAUUAGAGGGAGUCACACUGGAUAUAGCUCAACUUAUUCAGGAAUGGGAAUUAUCGGUAGGCCUCAUAUCAUUAUAAACAAAAUAUUUGUCAAGAAAGGAACUGUAAGAAUACUAAUCUGAAGUAUCACGGACUAUUUCUAUCUCGCUUCCAUUAUUGUUAUAGAUACAUCAUUGAUGGAAUAAAGAUUCGACUUCCCGCUGGAUGAUUCUCCAGAUUCACUUUUGCCUAUGCAGUAUGCUGCUUGUUUUGGAUCUGGUAGGAAAACGUUAUCAUUUGUAAUCAUUGAAAUAACAUCAGACAUGGUCGGUCUAUCUGUGGCACCCUCUUGAACACAGAGAAGACCAACGUGGAUGAUUCUGAUCAGUUCAUUCUUCGGGCACAAGGAACCGAGAGAUGGAUCCAUCAGCUCCAAAAUGUCACCUUGACUCCAUAGGUCCCAUGUCUGCAAUAAGUUCAAUAUUCAUAAAAAAUGUCAGAAUUUGCAUCAAAUUUGUGAGUGGAAUAAUCUGAUAUGUCUGAAGUUUGAACCACAUACCUGCUCUAUGAGGCCAACAAGAGUAGAUGAUGUGAAAACAGUAUUUUUCCUGCCAGUAACAAUCUCCAGAAGUAGAACUCCGAAACUGAAGACAUCAGACUUCACCGAGAAUAUUCCUUUCAUGGCAUACUCGGGAGACAUGUAACCACUGCACAUUGUUACCCACCAUAACAGGAAAAUGUCAGACAUGUAAGAACUGUUUACAAGACAAAUUUUGAGAGAACUGUGCAAGGUUGCUUAGAGAUACUGUGCUUACUAUGUUCCGACUACCCUAUUGGUGUUAGCUCUGGAUUCAUUCUGCCCAAAAAUCCUGGCCAUCCCGAAAUCUGAUAUCUUGGGGUUCAUAUCAUCGUCGAGUAAUAUGUUGCUUGCUUUUAAAUCUCUAUGUAUCACUUUCAGUCUUGAAUAUUUGUGGAGAUAAAGAAGCCCUUGUGCGACACCUUCGAUUAUACUCAGGCGCUUAUUCCAGUCCAGCAAUUUCCUUUUCACUGGAUCUGUCAUUUUUAUAUUAAAAAAUACAAUUGGCAGUCGACAAAAGAAUUAUUUACGGCAAUGGACAUCCACUACGAAUAACUAUUUGAGAACCCAAAUUGACCGAUCUAUCUACUCACCGAAGAGAAACGUGUCCAAGCUUUUGUUUGGCAUGUAUUCAUAGAUCAGCAUCUUCUCUUCCCCUUGAAUGCAGCAACCCAGUAGCUUAACCAGAUUUGUGUGUUGAAGCUCAGCGAUCAAUGUAAUUUCAUUCACGAACUCCUCCAGCCCUUGUCCUGAAUUUCUUGAGAGCCUUUUCACUGCAAUUUGUCGUCCAUCCAGCAGGAUGCCCUAUGUAUGGUAAACCUGUCAGCACUCGCUGACCAUCUAUCAGAUGGCAUUUGGAAUCAUAGAAUAGAGUCUUUUACCUUGUAAACUGGUCCAAAACCUCCCUGUCCCAGCUUGUUAGCAGGUGCAAAGUAAUCUGUCGCGGCAUCUACCUCAGAAAAGCUAUACUGCUGAAAGUCGCUGCGACUCGUUUUACUCCGUUUCAGACCGAAUUUCUUAGAGGGCAUCAUCUGUUGGUUUAGCAAUGCAUGGUUCUGCUUUGUUUCUGACUCUUCUGCAGAUAAAACAGAGAGUAUUUAGACUUGUACUCUAUGUACCCUACCUGGUGAAUAUCGUCAAAACAAUCUAAAGUCCCGACCAUUGUCUUGCAGAAGCAUCAGCUUUCUCUUCCUUAAGUAUAGAAGAUAACCCGAUAUUAGCACAGCCGCAGCUAUGACAGUGGCUGUGAGUAACCAUACCCACCACUUGUUUUUCCUUUUGCUCAUUGAACCUCCUUCAGCUGGAAUCCAUAGCAAAUGAGAAUUACUUUAAUGAAAGUCGUUCUACGUGCAAUACAUUGCGGAUAGCUGUAUUUAGUCCUAUCAUGCCCCAUUUCACAUUUUGCAAGCUGCUGUAACAGGGGGCUCUCAGUUUGUAACUUUGUCGCAAUUAGGGUUUUGCAUUUAAGUACUAGUUAGAGAUCUGACCCUUCAGAAGUAAAGAGCAAAACACAAGGCUAGAGUAUAUUACAAUAUGCACAGUGUAUUUAGAUCUUUUACAUACCAUUGUCAGCAGUCGAGGUAAGCACGUAGAGAACAUCAAAGUUAUCAUUUGGAAUAUAUGUUCCUCCCCUGUUCCAAAACUCACAUCCAGUUCCAUCAGUAAAAAGACUCCCAAAAGCUAUGCAAGAGCAAUUGUUCCAGCACAUGGAAUGGCAAUCACUCAGGGUCAAGCUUGAAUUAUGGUCAGAAUAGAGCAAUUCCCCUUUAUUAUAGUAGCCUCUCUGUUGCACAAACAGCUCCGAGCCAUUCCUACAAGCCGACGGCUUUUGAUCUACACACACAGCACCCGAGUAAUUCCCAUUCGAGUUGCACGAACUGGUACUUGAGUAGAGCCAAUUAGUACCAUCCUUGGCCAGAGUAGACCGUACUAUUUGACCCCACAGAUUAAUUUCCCACCUUGUGAUGGUGGAAUUGUUCUUCAAAGAGAAAGUGAAGUACUUCUCGUUUUCAUCCGACACAAAGCUGAACUCAUAUGCUGUCUCGUCUCGGGUCAGCUCAGGUGCCAUCUGAAAGCCUCCAUUUUCCCAUGCUCCACUGGUCCAAUAUAUCUCCUCGCGGUGCCAAAUCACUAGCUGGUUGGCGCUUCCAGGAUCCAUGCCUAGACGGAAAGCUCCUGGACCUGGGUCCCGGUCGCUUAGCCAUGAGUUAUCUUCAACCUUCCAUCAUUGUCCAAGUUCAGAACUCCAGACGAAUUGAAAAUAGGGUUGUUUGGAUUCGCCACCCAGACAGCUUCGGGAUUAUGAGGUAGUUUGCUGUACCAGAUUCCCAAGUAUCGGUAACUCGAGGAGCCUGGGCUGAAGAAGCCUAGUUUGAACGUACCUUUUGGAGCAAGAAGGUGUUCCCAGUCCUUCAGCUGUUGGCCCUGCAUCAGCUGGAAUACAAUUUCUGCUCUGGAGGUGAACGAGAACAAGAGAACAAGGAGGAGGGUUUCGAGUUUCGCCAUCUUCUUCUGCAAGAAAGAUGACUAUUGAUAUCUUGCAGGAGUUCUUUGCUUUAGGCUCUCAUCUGGUGCAAGAAUGCGAAAUUGUCUUGGACAAGAGGCAAAGACAAUGGCCUAGGAGUUUUCUUAUUGGGGCUAUUGCAAGAUCUUUUUUCUGUAUCUUCUCUUGUUAGACUAAUCUACACAUAUCUUUUGUAAAUUUGGUGCUCAAAUUUCCAACGUGGGGACACCUGAAAAGUCAUACUAUAGUACAUUAGGUGCUUAAAAAUUCUUUAGUGGUUUGACUUUUCUCCCCAUUAACACCCUUUCUGAUUAGGAUAUCAUUUAGUGUCAUCCUCACACUUUAAACGAUGAAAUCAAAACUGUAGACAUCGUACGUGCGUUUACUUUGAAAAACAGGAGCAUGAGGGGCCCUGCAAAGUAUUCUAGAAGAUUGCAUGUUCAUCUACUUAUUGCAGUAAUGCGUAUAGACAGAAUCCAGUGGUUGCAGCUGAAUUAGUGGACUCAUUCUUGCACGGUUGUCUUUUGAUGAUCCAACUUGAGAUUAAAAGAUGGGAUAUUCCAAGAUUAUGAGAAAAAACACGUCUUUUUUUUAUUAAUAAAAUUAAUGUGAGAUUAAUUAUUUUUUGCUGCUCUUUUGCAUCAUUUUGUUGGUGUGGAGGACUAGCUAGGACUGUAGGACUGGGGAUUGUAUAUAAUGGGUUGUAACUUGCAAGCAGACAGGAUUGACCUAAUCAAAAUGUUGCCUUUUCUUCUUC
Long non-coding RNA from Syzygium oleosum, 5457 nucleotides. RefSeq lists it as uncharacterized. The record is from RefSeq and is a predicted model, not a curated record. The transcript is spliced from 3 exons. Lineage: Eukaryota; Viridiplantae; Streptophyta; Magnoliopsida; Myrtales; Myrtaceae.